This 447-nucleotide long non-coding RNA is filed under the name Cervus hanglu yarkandensis (Yarkand deer). Its description in RNAcentral is "lncRNA (ENSCHYG00000022249.1)". Lineage: Eukaryota; Metazoa; Chordata; Mammalia; Artiodactyla; Cervidae. The record is from RNAcentral.
GGAGGCCGGGUGGGGCCACUUGGCCGGGCAGCCACGCCGCGGUCUGGGACUGUCCUGAAGGUGAAUUCCAGUGCCCCGGAAGGAAUGACAGGCAGCGGAGUCCUGCCAUCUCCUCCGAAAAAUGAAGCUGCUGAAAAGAAAAUAGAAAGAAUCACAAAGACCUCUGCCUUAGAAGUGUACAGACUCUGAGAAGCCAAGCUGUUUACCACAGCAGACUGGGGACCGCUCAACCCAGGGUCUGCUGUGGGAUGAGAUCAACUACCAUUGCCAUGUUGUUUGCUGUUUGGAGCUGGUAUGAUUCUAGGUUUGGUUGGAAGGCUGCAGGGUACAUGCUUGGUUUAAUGGAGGUCAUGGCUAUUGCUAGAGAGCCUAGAAGUCACUGCUCCACUGAAGGUGUUCAGUGUUGAGAUUUUCAGGCCAAAGACUUCUGGAAAAAGUCACAUUAAU